UCAGGAUGAACGCUGGCGGCGUGCCUAAUACAUGCAAGUCGAACGAGUUCUGAUUAUUGAAAGGUGCUUGCAUCUUGAUUUUAAUUUUGAACGAGUGGCGGACGGGUGAGUAACACGUGGGUAACCUGCCCUUAAGUGGGGGAUAACAUUUGGAAACAGAUGCUAAUACCGCAUAAAUCCAAGAACCGCAUGGUUCUUGGCUGAAAGAUGGCGUAAGCUAUCGCUUUUGGAUGGACCCGCGGCGUAUUAGCUAGUUGGUGAGGUAACGGCUCACCAAGGCAAUGAUACGUAGCCGAACUGAGAGGUUGAUCGGCCACAUUGGGACUGAGACACGGCCCAAACUCCUACGGGAGGCAGCAGUAGGGAAUCUUCCACAAUGGACGCAAGUCUGAUGGAGCAACGCCGCGUGAGUGAAGAAGGCUUUCGGGUCGUAAAACUCUGUUGUUGGAGAAGAAUGGUCGGCAGAGUAACUGUUGUCGGCGUGACGGUAUCCAACCAGAAAGCCACGGCUAACUACGUGCCAGCAGCCGCGGUAAUACGUAGGUGGCAAGCGUUAUCCGGAUUUAUUGGGCGUAAAGCGAGCGCAGGCGGUUUUUUAAGUCUGAUGUGAAAGCCCUCGGCUUAACCGAGGAAGUGCAUCGGAAACUGGGAAACUUGAGUGCAGAAGAGGACAGUGGAACUCCAUGUGUAGCGGUGAAAUGCGUAGAUAUAUGGAAGAACACCAGUGGCGAAGGCGGCUGUCUGGUCUGUAACUGACGCUGAGGCUCGAAAGCAUGGGUAGCGAACAGGAUUAGAUACCCUGGUAGUCCAUGCCGUAAACGAUGAAUGCUAGGUGUUGGAGGGUUUCCGCCCUUCAGUGCCGCAGCUAACGCAUUAAGCAUUCCGCCUGGGGAGUACGACCGCAAGGUUGAAACUCAAAGGAAUUGACGGGGGCCCGCACAAGCGGUGGAGCAUGUGGUUUAAUUCGAAGCAACGCGAAGAACCUUACCAGGUCUUGACAUCUUUUGAUCACCUGAGAGAUCAGGUUUCCCCUUCGGGGGCAAAAUGACAGGUGGUGCAUGGUUGUCGUCAGCUCGUGUCGUGAGAUGUUGGGUUAAGUCCCGCAACGAGCGCAACCCUUAUGACUAGUUGCCAGCAUUUAGUUGGGCACUCUAGUAAGACUGCCGGUGACAAACCGGAGGAAGGUGGGGAUGACGUCAAAUCAUCAUGCCCCUUAUGACCUGGGCUACACACGUGCUACAAUGGAUGGUACAACGAGUUGCGAGACCGCGAGGUCAAGCUAAUCUCUUAAAGCCAUUCUCAGUUCGGACUGUAGGCUGCAACUCGCCUACACGAAGUCGGAAUCGCUAGUAAUCGCGGAUCAGCACGCCGCGGUGAAUACGUUCCCGGGCCUUGUACACACCGCCCGUCACACCAUGAGAGUUUGUAACACCCGAAGCCGGUGGCGUAACCCUUUUAGGGAGCGAGCCGUCUAAGGUGGGACAAAUGAUUAGGGUG
This 1497-nucleotide ribosomal RNA is filed under the name uncultured organism. Its description in RNAcentral is "SSU rRNA". It matches the Rfam family "Bacterial small subunit ribosomal RNA". The record is from RNAcentral.